GUGCUUAAGAGAAUUCAUUGAUCCACAGCCUAAGUGAUUUGGGAAAUACUCAAGGAGAAGCUCCUGUUGGUACAGUCUUUAUUAUGAAGGAUACAAGGCAGAAAGAGCCAGAUGGAAGAGAAGCACAGGACAAGGUAUCGUGGAGGAGGAACAGCAUUUCUUCCCUCUGGAGGAUGUACCAUUCAGAGAACCACCUCAAAUGUGGAAACCAGGCCCUUGUCAGACACCAGACCUGAACACACCUUGACCCUGGAUUUCCUAGGCUCUAGAACUGUGAGAACGAAAUUUCUGUUUUUUAUAAAUUACCUAACCUCAGGACCUCUGUCAUCGCAGCAUAAAUGACCUAAGACAAGUAGACUAACAGAAUGAAUACAAGCAAGAUAUAAAAUAUUAGAGGGUUGCAUGGCACAUGGAAAAUGAUAACACUGAAUAACUACACAACUAAUAAUGAAUGUAAUUUGUAAUAACUACAAAACCUGUAUAAAUAAAGGUACCUAAGAAUUUUCCUAGCCGAGAUUAUCAGUUUACCCUAGGCUCCCAAAGCUGCCUAGCAUGGUGAAAUGGAAUCAUAAGGGUAAGGCUGAGCCUGUUUUCUACAAAGUUCUAUCUGAUGAUUUGCCAAGGUUAGUAGGAUCACUGCAUCACAGUUGUCGGAUACCAACAUUGGAUAAUCAGUAAGCAGCCCUGCUCAGAAGACACAG
This 701-nucleotide long non-coding RNA is filed under the name Homo sapiens (human). RNAcentral describes it as "HSALNT0379065". Lineage: Eukaryota; Metazoa; Chordata; Mammalia; Primates; Hominidae. The record is from RNAcentral.